AUGUUUUAACACGUUGCAAACACCGGUUUUCGUCCGAUCAUCCAAGUUAAGCAAUGUGGGGUCUGGUCAGUGCGUGGGAGGGUGACCUCUUGGAAACACCUGGAGCUUCAGACC
Cordylochernes scorpioides is the source of this 114-nucleotide non-coding RNA. Lineage: Eukaryota; Metazoa; Arthropoda; Arachnida; Pseudoscorpiones; Chernetidae. The record is from the annotation of a GenBank genome assembly.